Molecule: ribosomal RNA, 253 nt
Filed under: uncultured bacterium
Lineage: Bacteria
Description: partial 16S ribosomal RNA
Rfam family: Bacterial small subunit ribosomal RNA
Source: RNAcentral
UACGUAGGGGGCAAGCGUUGUCCGGAAUCAUUGGGCGUAAAGCGCGCGCAGGCGGAUGGGUAUGUGCCGUGUGAAAGCGCCGUCCUUACGAUGGCGAGGUCAUGGUAGACAGCCCGUCUGGAGGCUCGAAGAGGUCGGUGGAAUUCCGGGUGGAGCGGUGAAAUGCGUAGAUAUCCGGAGGAACACCAGGGGCGAAAGCGGCCGACUGGUCGAGUACUGACGCUGAGGCGCGACGGCGUGGGGAGCAAACCGG